RNAcentral lists this transfer RNA (118 nucleotides) under Candidatus Woesearchaeota archaeon. RNAcentral describes it as "tRNA-Val". It matches the Rfam family "tRNA". Rfam says of the family: Transfer RNA (tRNA) molecules are approximately 80 nucleotides in length. Their secondary structure includes four short double-helical elements and three loops (D, anti-codon, and T loops). Lineage: Archaea; Nanobdellati; Candidatus Woesearchaeota. The record is from RNAcentral.
GGGCUCGUGGUCUAGUGGCUACGUAAAAAUGCUACGCAUUUUUAGUCUGUGGCUUAUCGCCACAUAUGACAGCGCCCUUACAAGGCGUUAAUCGUCGGUUCGAGUCCGACCGGGCCCA